UGCUAUACAUGCAGUCGAGCGAACAGAUGAGAAGCUUGCUUCUCUGAUGUUAGCGGCGGACGGGUGAGUAACACGUGGGUAACCUACCUAUAAGACUGGGAUAACUCCGGGAAACCGGGGCUAAUACCGGAUAAUAUUUUGAACCGCAUGGUUCAAUAGUGAAAGACGGUUUCGGCUGUCACUUAUAGAUGGACCCGCGCCGUAUUAGCUAGUUGGUAAGGUAACGGCUUACCAAGGCGACGAUACGUAGCCGACCUGAGAGGGUGAUCGGCCACACUGGAACUGAGACACGGUCCAGACUCCUACGGGAGGCAGCAGUAGGGAAUCUUCCGCAAUGGGCGAAAGCCUGACGGAGCAACGCCGCGUGAGUGAUGAAGGUCUUCGGAUCGUAAAACUCUGUUGUUAGGGAAGAACAAAUUUGUUAGUAACUGAACAAGUCUUGACGGUACCUAACCAGAAAGCCACGGCUAACUACGUGCCAGCAGCCGCGGUAAUACGUAGGUGGCAAGCGUUAUCCGGAAUUAUUGGGCGUAAAGCGCGCGUAGGCGGUUUCUUAAGUCUGAUGUGAAAGCCCACGGCUCAACCGUGGAGGGUCAUUGGAAACUGGGAAACUUGAGUGCAGAAGAGGAGAGUGGAAUUCCAUGUGUAGCGGUGAAAUGCGCAGAGAUAUGGAGGAACACCAGUGGCGAAGGCGGCUCUCUGGUCUGUAACUGACGCUGAUGUGCGAAAGCGUGGGGAUCAAACAGGAUUAGAUACCCUGGUAGUCCACGCCGUAAACGAUGAGUGCUAAGUGUUAGGGGGUUUCCGCCCCUUAGUGCUGCAGCUAACGCAUUAAGCACUCCGCCUGGGGAGUACGACCGCAAAGUUGA
This 869-nucleotide ribosomal RNA is filed under the name Staphylococcus sp.FZ-6. RNAcentral's name for it is "bacterial SSU rRNA". It matches the Rfam family "Bacterial small subunit ribosomal RNA", at positions 45 to 897 of the family's 1533-position model. Lineage: Bacteria; Bacillati; Bacillota; Bacilli; Caryophanales; Staphylococcaceae. The record is from RNAcentral.